Anguilla rostrata (American eel) is the source of this 2083-nucleotide long non-coding RNA. RefSeq lists it as uncharacterized. The transcript has 4 exons. NCBI's taxonomy places the organism in Eukaryota, Metazoa, Chordata, Actinopteri, Anguilliformes, Anguillidae. The record is from RefSeq and is a predicted model, not a curated record.
CAGGACAGCAGACAGGUGGAGCCAGAGGACGGUAACGUGAAUCAGAAGUCUGUGAGAUUCGGCAGUUUUGAACAGCAUGGAUCAUCUCUGAAUGAACAAAAUGAGAAGACUCCAGACAAUCCUAUUCCGCCUCCAUGUCCAUGCAUAGAGAAAAGGGCACUGCCCUCCAGCACAAUUUCACAUUUUAAGCCUGCAAAGGCCUUGAAGUUUGACAUCCCAAAAGAAAAUCUACAAAUCAGCGAUGAAAUGGAAGAUCCGAUAGUGGGUGUGGCCAUGAGAAUAGUGGAAGACCGACACAGAGUCCGUGGAACGACAGAGAGAGGAAAGAAUGGCGAUGUGGUCAGCCCUGGGACCGCAGGGAGUGGGUCAGGGCAGAUUCGCGAUUGCCGCGGCUUGAUGCCUGAGGUGGAUGAUCCAGUGGAAAGGGUUGUGGGUGAGGUGAUUGCGGCAGAUGUAAAAAUGGUCUUUGUCUGCCCUGAGAAGCAUGAGAUUCACCGUGUAAACGAAGAUCCAGUGAAAGUGAAAUGCAAUGGAUGUGACAUCCACUACAAAAAAACUAAAAUGACCGUCCUCCUCGAGGGAACCAUUAUGAUUGGACGUGACCAUGGAAAGAGGUUCAAACUAAAUGACAGAAUUCUUAGGUCAUUCAUAGAUUGUGACUCUGUAGGAAUAGAUUCUAUUACCGAUCAACUAUUUUAUUCAAAAACUGUCAGCUUGACAGUUAAGAAUAACGAGGUACUGCAUGCUGUGAGGGUGGGUGAUAUGGCCUAAAAUUCAUAUCACAAUAUGAAGUCCAUCCAUCCAUCCAUUAUCUACACCCGCUUAUCCUGGGCAGGGUCGCGCGGGAGCUGGAGCCUAUCCCAGUGUGCAUUGGGCAAGAGGCAGGAAUACACCCUGGACAGGCAGCCAAUCUAUUGCGGGGCACACACACGCUUAUACCUAUGGGCAAUUUAGCCUACCUGCAUGUCUCUGGACUGUGGGAGGAAACUGGAGUACCUGGAGGAAACCCACAUGGACACGGGGAGAGCGUGCAAACUCCACACAGAAAGGCACAGGCCGAGGUUCAAACCCACGACCCUCUUGCUGUGUGGAAACAGUGCUACCCACUGCACCACCGUGCCAUAUAUUAUGAUGUAAACUUAAAAAAAAUGAAAAUUUGAAUCAUAACUUGGGUUAUAUAAAACCAGAAAAGUUAAGACAUGGCUCGAUACACUGAAUAUUUUUAUUGUGCAAUUUUUUCAUUCCUGCACCAAAGCUACCACAAGAAGGAUUUUUUUCUGAAAUAAAAUGUAUAAAGUGAUUGGUAUAAAAUAUCUUUUCUCAGAAGGUAAAACAUUUAAAACGGGUCAUUUUUCAAUUAAUUUUUUGGUUCAGAUUUUUCUGUCUAAACCCUAUUGGUGUGGUGGACUCCGGACACAAUUAACUGGAACAGCUCAUUCUUAUUUCACAGGGUUCCAGCUGUAUUGCAGUAGUUACACCUCAGGUUUAACCCCAGCUAAGCACGCUGCAGUUGACCCAGUAGUUUUUUGUUUAUUUCUUUGGGGCUUCUGGCUGGCUGUGCUUCUUUGAUAAGCACUAAGGGAGCUGAACACAUACCAGCCCGGAUUGGGGUUGCCAGAUUUACAAUUAGAAGUGAAAUUGCGAACAAAGUCGGAUCGGGGAAGCAACGUUGGAACUGGGGGGGGGAGUCAUUGACACAACAGUUAACACAAGAAAGUAACGGAAAAUUUCCUCCAGCAAUGACGCCACAAACCGGACCUGUAAAAAUUGUUUGAAAAUUUGACAUUCUAGUUGAAAAAACAGAUUUCUGGCAACCCUACCCCUGAUACAAUCAGGAAAGUGAGGUCUGUCUGCCAUCUUUCUCUUUCCUUUAACUUUUUAAAGGAAACUUUUUUUUUUUUUUUUUUUUUUUGCCUGGAAAGAUCUUUAAUUGGUUUUUAUGGUGUGUCCGUUACUUCUCCGUUGCUGGUCUACGAGUUGGUACAACACUCUUCUAAUUCUGAUGCUAUAGAACUGUAUGAACUGUACUGAUGUUUAACGUGAUCGGACAUUAAUAUAUUUUGAUGUAAAUAAAUAUUUUUUU